CGCCCCGGGGCCCCUCUUUGUCACCAACUGGACGCAGCCGAGGGAGCUCUGGACGAGCCGGGGCCGCGCGGCUUGUCGGGCGAGAGCGAUUCAAGCUGGAAUCUCCGUUUCGGACUUCUCUUGUGACUUCGAACAUGGACCAUCUCAACCUGCGACCUCGGAUGGAGCGCGCAGGCGAGGACCGCGCCCCGCCAAUCACGGGCGUUCGACCGGGAGCCGGGGCUUCCUCAGUCUCUGACUGAAGACUUUGGGUGGUGGGCGGAGGCGGAGGUGCAGACACACUCCAGGCUACGAUUUGCCCCUUCCUCUUCUAAAACUGCUGGAAGGAUUGUCUCUAGCUCACACCACUGGCCAUCUUUUGCUGAUACUGCAGCUGAUAGAACCCAGGAAGACUCUGGGCAAUGCCCACUCUCUGUGCCUCGACCUCACUGUCAAAUCUCAGUCCAGACCUGGCCAGCCUUGGUGUCAAGUCCAGGGUUCCGCAGACACAAAGCCUUUCCUCCAGUAUGACAGUGACAGCUGCAAGGUCAGACCUUUGGGUUUCCUGGGGGAGGAGGUAAAUGACACCAAAGCGUGGACUGAAUUGAGCCAGACGCUGGGAGAAGCAGGAAGAGGGCUCAGGAUGGUCCUGCCUGUCAUCAAACUGGACAAAAAGGAGAUGAGGGGUCCUCCCUCCCUGCAGGUCAGGCUGUGUUGUCAGCGUGAAGCCGAGCAAUGCUCUGGUGCAUCCUUGCUCUUCAGCCUCAAUGGACGGACAGCCCUCCUCCUUGACACCAUGAGCAUAACCUGGACAGGCAUCGAUCCUGGAGCCACAGGCCUCAAGGAGGAGUGGGAGAACAACCAGGAACUGGCAGAGUAUUUCAGGAAUAUCUCAAUGGGAGACUGCAGUUAUUGGCUUAGGGAAUUCCUGGAACACUGGGAGAACAUGCUGCUCCCAGAGCCCACAGAACCACUAAUAAUGGCCCCAGAUAUCAGCCAGUCUGCAUUCAUCCAAUUGGUCACUUGCAUUAUUCUACUCAUCAUCACCCAGUUAGUUCUAAUUGCUUCAUCGUCAUGAAUCUUAUGAAGAAAUCAGGGACCACAGCAGGAGAAAGAAAUGUGGACAUGCACAGAAGACAUGGAUAGAGGGAGACAAGACCCACGGGAAGAGUGUCAUGGAAGGACAGAAAUAGACACGAGCUCUGCAACGCCAGGGGUUUCCGGGAACCACAGAGCUGUCCACGGUCCCUCGGUCGUGUCCGCCUCUUUGCGGCCCCAUGGACUGCAGCCCACCAGGCUCCUCUGUCCAUGGGAUUCUUCAGGCAAGAAUACUGGGGUGGGUUGCCAUUUCCUUCUCCAUGCAACCACCAGUAGUCAGGAAGAGACAAGAUGGAGCCUCCCUUAGAGCCUUCAGAGAGGGCCCUACUGACACCUUGAUUUCGGACUUCUAACCA
Dama dama (fallow deer) is the source of this 1433-nucleotide long non-coding RNA. RefSeq lists it as uncharacterized. The record is from RefSeq and is a predicted model, not a curated record. Lineage: Eukaryota; Metazoa; Chordata; Mammalia; Artiodactyla; Cervidae. The transcript is spliced from 6 exons.